CUUUUACAAUGAAGAGUUUGAUCCUGGCUCAGGAUGAACGCUAGCUACAGGCUUAACACAUGCAAGUCGAGGGGCAGCAUUUUAGUUUGCUUGCAAACUAAAGAUGGCGACCGGCGCACGGGUGAGUAACACGUAUCCAACCUGCCGAUAACUCGGGGAUAGCCUUUCGAAAGAAAGAUUAAUAUCCGAUGGUAUAUUAAAACCGCAUGGUUUUACUAUUAAAGAAUUUCGGUUAUCGAUGGGGAUGCGUUCCAUUAGUUUGUUGGCGGGGUAACGGCCCACCAAGACUACGAUGGAUAGGGGUUCUGAGAGGAAGGUCCCCCACAUUGGAACUGAGACACGGUCCAAACUCCUACGGGAGGCAGC
RNAcentral lists this ribosomal RNA (366 nucleotides) under Parabacteroides distasonis. RNAcentral describes it as "bacterial SSU rRNA". It matches the Rfam family "Bacterial small subunit ribosomal RNA", at positions 1 to 352 of the family's 1533-position model. RNAcentral also lists the same sequence under 1 other name. The record is from RNAcentral. Lineage: Bacteria; Pseudomonadati; Bacteroidota; Bacteroidia; Bacteroidales; Tannerellaceae.